CCUUCCAGCGAUCAGUUUAGCCCCUGCAUUACCACAAUCAUGCCGAUCAACGCCGAGACUGUUAAUCUUGCUGCUACGUACAUGAUCCUAGUGAUCCUGUUAUUCUUCUUGUGGUUGCUGUACUCAGCUGUCUUCUAAUUCACAUCUGUCGACUGGGCGUGGCGUGUGGGCGGUCGCGACACUUUGGUGUCAGAAUCAGUUUUCUGGAGUGUCCUGUCCAGUGAGCACCGUCCAACCAUGCCGAACCACGAGACAACGAGCCUAAUCGCAACUUACCUUAUCCUGGUACUUCUACUCGCCAGUCUCUGGCUUUUGUACUCCGGAAUGUUCUGAGAUAAUGGUCGGGAAGAUGCAACAAAAAGACCAAUGGAGGAAGAAGAAAAUACUAUAUUAAGUUAACUUUAAGAAACCGUAAUGUUAGAUUAAGUUAAGACCCUAAGCAUUUACGAUCAACGACACCGGGCUAAAAUAAUCAACAAUUAUUCAGUGCUGGGCAUUCCAAUAAAAGAAUUAUAAACACACAAAUCAGAACGAUGUGCCAUUUUUUUCAUUCUGUGAAGGUUAUUAUCGUUAUUGUUAAGAACUAAGAGAUUUGUAAUUAAAUUUUGUAUUUA
Molecule: long non-coding RNA, 614 nt
Organism: Pieris rapae (cabbage white)
Lineage: Eukaryota; Metazoa; Arthropoda; Insecta; Lepidoptera; Pieridae
Exons: 3
Source: RefSeq, a predicted model, not a curated record